This is an unclassified non-coding RNA of 278 nucleotides. It matches the Rfam family "Metazoan signal recognition particle RNA". Rfam says of the family: The signal recognition particle (SRP) is a universally conserved ribonucleoprotein. It is involved in the co-translational targeting of proteins to membranes. The eukaryotic SRP consists of a 300-nucleotide 7S RNA and six proteins: SRPs 72, 68, 54, 19, 14, and 9. The record is from Ensembl.
GCUGGGCACGGUGGCGCGUGCCUCUAAUCCAAGUCACUGGGAGGCUGAGGUUGGCGGUUCGAUUGAGCUGAGGAGCUCUGCACUGUACCGACUAUGUUGAACGGGUGUCCAUGCUAAGUUCGGUAUCGGUAUGGUGGUUCUGGGGGAGCCUUGGACCACCAGGUCGCAUGUACGGGCCCAGGUCGGGAACGGAGCAGGUCAAAGCCCCGUGCGCUCAGUAGCAUCCGUGAAUAGACGAUACAGUGCAGCCUCGGCAAAACAGCGGUACCCAAUCUUUU